UACGUAGGGUGCAGGCGUUAAUCGGAAUUACUGGGCGUAAAGCGUGCGCAGGCGGUUUGCUAAGACAGGUGUGAAAUCCCCGGGCUUAACCUGGGAACUGCGCUUGUAACCGGCAAGCUGGAGUGUGGCAGAGGGGGGUGGAAUUCCACGUGUAGCAGUGAAAUGCGUAGAGAUGUGGAGGAACACCGAUGGCGAAGGCAGCCCCCUGGGCUAACACUGACGCUCAUGCACGAAAGCGUGGGGAGCAAACAGG
Molecule: ribosomal RNA, 253 nt
Filed under: uncultured bacterium
Lineage: Bacteria
Description: partial 16S ribosomal RNA
Rfam family: Bacterial small subunit ribosomal RNA
Source: RNAcentral